This 497-nucleotide ribosomal RNA is filed under the name uncultured bacterium. Its description in RNAcentral is "partial 16S ribosomal RNA". It matches the Rfam family "Bacterial small subunit ribosomal RNA", at positions 28 to 507 of the family's 1533-position model. The record is from RNAcentral.
GAUGAACGCUGGCGGCGUGCCUAAUACAUGCAAGUCGAGCGAACAGACGAGGAGCUUGCUCCUCUGACGUUAGCGGCGGACGGGUGAGUAACACGUGGAUAACCUACCUAUAAGACUGGGAUAACUUCGGGAAACCGGAGCUAAUACCGGAUAAUAUAUUGAACCGCAUGGUUCAAUAGUGAAAGACGGUUUUGCUGUCACUUAUAGAUGGAUCCGCGCCGCAUUAGCUAGUUGGUAAGGUAACGGCUUACCAAGGCGACGAUGGGUAGCCGACCUGGGAGGGUGAUCGGCCACACUGGAACUGAGACACGGUCCAGACUCCUACGGGAGGCAGCAGUAGGGAAUCUUCCGCAAUGGGCGAAAGCCUGACGGAGCAACGCCGCGUGAGUGAUGAAGGUCUUCGGAUCGUAAAACUCUGUUAUUAGGGAAGAACAAAUGUGUAAGUAACUAUGCACGUCUUGACGGUACCUAAUCAGAAAGCCACGGCUAACUACGUG